AUAAAACUGGUUUUGAAUGACAUGAGAAUGAAUAAACGAUGACAAAAAUAUUUUCGGGGUCAACUAUCCUUUUAAAGCGGACCCAUCUUCUUGUUCUGACAGGUAUUCGGAACCCGUAUGAAGCUACAUUAAGGAGGUCCUCAUGCAAUGAAUGCGGAGAUCCUCUUGUAUGUGUAGUGGAUUCUUGGUUUUUUUUUUCAUCGGGACCUCUAUAGAUCAAAGCAUGAGCACCUGACCUAAUGAUGAGCUCUUUGGCUGACUUUCACUGGAAGCUUUUCUCCCUACACACUGUUUACACAGUUACAUAUGUCUGGACUCAUAAGAGCGCUGGAGGGUUGUGGCCCGUCGCGGGUUGAGCGAUCCGCGCCACUAACGUGAGAAACUCGGCGCAACAUGACAGAUGGGUUGGCCAACCUCUCUGAGGACAGUGUAAUGUGGACCUGUGUGUGCUUGACAGGACGGCAGAGAUCAAACGACAUUCUGGAAGGUGAAGUGCCUUUCCUUUAGCCAACUUCCCUGUGUGACGUGUGGCACAAGAGAGCAUUCAC
Triplophysa dalaica is the source of this 548-nucleotide long non-coding RNA. RefSeq lists it as uncharacterized. The record is from RefSeq and is a predicted model, not a curated record. NCBI's taxonomy places the organism in Eukaryota, Metazoa, Chordata, Actinopteri, Cypriniformes, Nemacheilidae. The transcript is spliced from 4 exons.